UCAGCGUCUGCUCGAAGGUUUCGUUGGAACCAGGACGGGAGAGUCGGCUCUGCAGUGCCGGGUGGUUCAGGCCAAGGGCCCAGCCAUCAAGGGAUAUAAUGCAAGAGGAGCUACAGUUCUAUAGAACACAGCCUGAAAUACAAGGCAGUUCUUUCCAAGAGACUUGUGGUUGAUAAGAAAGUUGUGACCAAGAGGAUGAGCUGUACUUCAGUGGUCUCACAGAACUCAUGCAGCACUUCAGGAU
Molecule: long non-coding RNA, 244 nt
Filed under: Cavia porcellus (domestic guinea pig)
Lineage: Eukaryota; Metazoa; Chordata; Mammalia; Rodentia; Caviidae
Description: lncRNA (ENSCPOG00000038740.1)
Source: RNAcentral